GUAAAAUUGAAAUAACACAUCAUUUUUAGGAUAAUAAUUUUACUGUAUUUUCAUAUUUACCUACAAAGCAUGUGCGAAGUGAAAACACUUAAGUAGGUACAAGUUGUAAUUAGAAUCUUAAUUCUAAUGCACAAAGUAAUAUAAAAAAAACAAUGAAGUAUUUACAUUUUCUUAAAUACGCAUCCAGACUUCGAAAUCAUUUUACAAAAGUGUAUCAUCUAAUCCAUCAAGUCCAUUAACGUCCAUCGCCUUGAUAAGGUUUACAGUGCGACUGUA
Molecule: long non-coding RNA, 276 nt
Organism: Ostrinia nubilalis (European corn borer)
Lineage: Eukaryota; Metazoa; Arthropoda; Insecta; Lepidoptera; Crambidae
Exons: 2
Source: RefSeq, a predicted model, not a curated record